Molecule: ribosomal RNA, 1496 nt
Filed under: uncultured bacterium
Lineage: Bacteria
Description: bacterial SSU rRNA
Rfam family: Bacterial small subunit ribosomal RNA
Source: RNAcentral
ACGGAUCCAGAGUUUGAUCAUGGCUCAGGAUGAACGCUGGCGGCGUGCCUAACACAUGCAAGUCGAGCGAGAAAUUAAUUAAGGAAUCUUCGGAAGAAUUAAUUAAUGGAAAGCGGCGGACGGGUGAGUAACGCGUGGGCAACCUGCCUUUCACAGAGGGAUAGCCAAAGGAAACUUUGAUUAAAACCUCAUAAUGCUAAUUUACUGCAUAAUAGAUUAGCCAAAGAUUUAUCGGUGAAAGAUGGGCCCGCGUCUGAUUAGCUAGUUGGUGAGGUAACGGCUCACCAAGGCAACGAUCAGUAGCCGACCUGAGAGGGUGAUCGGCCACAUUGGAACUGAGACACGGUCCAAACUCCUACGGGAGGCAGCAGUGGGGAAUAUUGCACAAUGGGCGAAAGCCUGAUGCAGCAACGCCGCGUGAACGAAGAAGGCCUUCGGGUCGUAAAGUUCUGUCCAUAGGGAAGAAAAAAAUGACGGUACCUUUGGAGGAAGCCCCGGCUAAAUACGUGCCAGCAGCCGCGGUAAUACGUAUGGGGCAAGCGUUAUCCGGAAUUAUUGGGCGUAAAGAGUGCGUAGGUGGUGGCUUAAGCGCAGGGUUUAAGGCAAUAGCUCAACUAUUGUUCGCCUUGCGAACUGGGUCACUUGAGUACAGGAGAGGAAAGCGGAAUUCCUAGUGUAGCGGUGAAAUGCAUAGAUAUUAGGAGGAACACCAGUGGCGAAGGCGGCUUUCUGGACUGAAACUGACACUGAGGCACGAAAGCGUGGGUAGCAAACAGGAUUAGAUACCCUGGUAGUCCACGCCGUAAACGAUGAGCACUAGGUGUCGGCCCCAAAAGGGUCGGUGCCGCAGUUAACGCAUUAAGUGCUCCGCCUGGGGAGUACGCACGCAAGUGUGAAACUCAAAGGAAUUGACGGGGACCCGCACAAGCAGCGGAGCAUGUGGUUUAAUUCGAAGCAACGCGAAGAACCUUACCAGAACUUGACAUCCUUCUGACAGGUCCUUAAUCGGACCCUUCUUCGGACAGAAGAGACAGGUGGUGCAUGGUUGUCGUCAGCUCGUGUCGUGAGAUGUUGGGUUAAGUCCCGCAACGAGCGCAACCCUUAUCAUUAGUUGCCAUCAUUAAGUUGGGCACUCUAGUGAGACUGCCGGGGACAACUCGGAGGAAGGUGGGGAUGACGUCAAAUCAUCAUGCCCCUUAUGUUCUGGGCUACACACGUGCUACAAUGGUCGGUACAGAAAGCAGCGAAACCGUGAGGUGAAGCCAAUCUCCAAAACCGAUCCCAGUUCGGAUUGUAGGCUGCAACUCGCCUACAUGAAGUCGGAGUUGCUAGUAAUCGCAGAUCAGAAUGCUGCGGUGAAUGCGUUCCCGGGUCUUGUACACACCGCCCGUCACACCAUGGAAGUUGGGGGUGCCCAAAGUUGGACAAUUAAUCGUUUACCUAAGGCAAAACCAAUGACUGGGGUGAAGUCGUAACAAGGUAACCGUAAGCUUCAC